This 22-nucleotide microRNA is filed under the name Blattella germanica (German cockroach). RNAcentral describes it as "Bge-Mir-1_5p* (star (passenger))". Lineage: Eukaryota; Metazoa; Arthropoda; Insecta; Blattodea; Blattellidae. The record is from RNAcentral.
CCAUACUUCCUUACUUCUCAUA